UUAAGUUCAGCGGGUAUUCCUACCUGAUCCGAGGUCAAACUUUAGAAGGGGGUUGUUUCACGGCCGGCACCCGCCGCACGCCCUGAGCGAGAUGUAUUACUGCGCUCGGAGUGACUAGCGAGCCCGCCACUGUAUUUCAGGGCCUGCGGGCAGCCGCAGGGACCCAACGCAAGCCUGGGGCUUGAUGGUUGAAAUGACGC
RNAcentral lists this unclassified non-coding RNA (200 nucleotides) under Cercophora sp. Its description in RNAcentral is "partial internal transcribed spacer 2". Lineage: Eukaryota; Fungi; Ascomycota; Sordariomycetes; Sordariales; Lasiosphaeriaceae. The record is from RNAcentral.